GGUUGAUUAGUCUAAUAUAAGAUUUUUAUUUUGAAAAUAAGCGAUUAGUUAUAAGAAUAACUAAUCAACCU
This 71-nucleotide transfer RNA is filed under the name Coloceras sp. SLC-2005. Its description in RNAcentral is "tRNA-Ser". RNAcentral also lists the same sequence under 1 other name. The record is from RNAcentral. Lineage: Eukaryota; Metazoa; Arthropoda; Insecta; Psocodea; Philopteridae.